This 1036-nucleotide ribosomal RNA is filed under the name Amanita sp. 'DEUT02'. Its description in RNAcentral is "Amanita sp. 'sp-DEUT02' partial 28S ribosomal RNA". It matches the Rfam family "Eukaryotic large subunit ribosomal RNA", at positions 1 to 998 of the family's 3401-position model. The record is from RNAcentral. Lineage: Eukaryota; Fungi; Basidiomycota; Agaricomycetes; Agaricales; Amanitaceae.
UCUGACCUCAAAUCAGGUAGGACUACCCGCUGAACUUAAGCAUAUCAAUAAGCGGAGGAAAAGAAACUAACAAGGAUUCCCCUAGUAACUGCGAGUGAAGCGGGAAAAGCUCAAAUUUGAAAUCUGGCAGUCUUUUUUUUCUUCUUUGGCUGUCCGAGUUGUAAUCUAGAGAAGUGCUUACCUGCACUGGACCAUGUAUAAGUCUCCUGGAAUGGAGUGUCGCAGAGGGUGAGAAUCCCGUCUUUGACAUGGACUGCCAGUGUGUUGUGGUGUGCUCUCAAAGAGUCGAGUUGUUUGGGAAUGCAGCUCUAAAUGGGUGGUAAACUCCAUCUAAAGCUAAAUAUUGGCGAGAGACCGAUAGUGAACAAGUACCGUGAGGGAAAGAUGAAAAGGACUUUGGAAAGAGAGUUAAACAGUAUGUGAAAUUGUUGAAAGGGAAACGCUUGAAGUCAGUUAUGUUGGCUAGGGAUCAACCUAGCUACUUUUGCUGGGUGAAUUUCCUAGUCUUACAGGCCAACAUCAGUCUUGACUGCUGGAAAAGAGCAGAGGGAAUGUGGCACUUUCGGGUGUGUUAUAGCCCUUUGUCAUAUGUGGCAGUUGGAACUGAGGAAUGCAGCAUGCCGCGAGGCUGGGUUUCUGACCACGUUCAUGCUUAGGAUGUUGGCUUUUAAUGGCUUCAAUCGACCCGUCUUGAAACACGGACCAAGGAGUCUAACAUGCCUGCGAGUAUUUGGGUGGGGAAAACCCUUGUGCACAAUGAAAGUGAAAGUUGAGAUCCCUGUCAUGGGGGAGCAUCGACGCCCGGACUUGAGCUUUUAGCGACGGAUCCGCGGUAGAGCAUGCAUGUUGGGACCCGAAAGAUGGUGAACUAUGCCUGAAUAGGGCAAAGCCAGAGGAAACUCUGGUGGAGGCUCGUAGCGAUUCUGACGUGCAAAUCGAUCGUCAAAUUUGGGUAUAGGGGCGAAAGACUAAUCGAACCAUCUAGUAGCUGGUUCCUGCCGAAGUUUCCCUCAGGAUAGCAGAAGCUCAUUAUCAG